Lonchura striata (white-rumped munia) is the source of this 476-nucleotide long non-coding RNA. NCBI's taxonomy places the organism in Eukaryota, Metazoa, Chordata, Aves, Passeriformes, Estrildidae. The record is from Ensembl.
AGUGUUCACCCCCUGGACAAACAACCAGGGCUUUAUUUCUUUUUAAAUGAAUCAUCUGCUUCCUGUGUGGAUUGCUUUGAAAACUUCACCCGGAGCCACGUGGGACAGGAGAUGUGAUGCACGUUUCCCAGGGAAGCUGCAUGAAUCAGCAACUGAUGCAAAGCCUUUUUCUCAGCACUGUUUACUGUUACAUUAAUUUCAGAUGUCGGGCCUCAACCUCAUUUUGUCAAUUUCAGCGACCACAGGCCACUUCUGCCACGGACCAGCAGCCUGCUGCCCCAGCAUGACAGAGCGUGUCCCUGAGGCACAGAACCCCCAGGCCCAGCAGAAGACACGAGGGAGGAGGUCAGGACGCGCGGGACUCCUGGGCUGGUCAGAAGGCACCCAGUGAAAGGUGCCAGCUGAUCUCUUCGUGUUACUAAUGGGUUGUGAGUUAGUGCUGGUAACUCCCAGAGCUGUCCAGAAGAAUUCCUCAG